Long non-coding RNA from Ictalurus punctatus (channel catfish), 1041 nucleotides. The record is from Ensembl. NCBI's taxonomy places the organism in Eukaryota, Metazoa, Chordata, Actinopteri, Siluriformes, Ictaluridae.
GCCAACAAAAAACCUGGAAAUCAUUCAAAAGAAAUCUCUGAAAUCUCACUCUGACAGUUCCUCACCUCAGAUACAGCACAUCACUUGAGACCAUAGUUGGUUACUAAGGUACUAAUGUCACUGACCAGGUAGUUACUAAGUUACUGACCAGGGAGUUACUAAGGUCACUGACCAGGGAGUUACUAAAGUCACUGACCAGGUAGUUACUAAAGUCACUGACCAGGGAGUUACUAAAUUACUGUCCAGGGAGUUACUAAGUUACUGUCCAGGGAGUUACUAAGUUACUGACCAGGGAGUUACUAAGUUACUGUCCAGGGAGUUACUAAAGUCACUGACCAGGGAGUUACUAAGUUACUGUCCAGGGAGUUACUAAGUCACUGACCAGGGAGUUACUAAGUUACUGUCCAGGGAGUUACUAAAGUCACUGACCAGGGAGUUACUAAGUCACUGACCAGGGAGUUACUAAGUUACUGACCAGGGAGUUACUAAAUUACUAACCAGGGAGUUACUAAGUUACUGACCAGGUAGUUACUAAGGUCACUGACCAGAGAGUUACUAAGGUCACUAACCAGGUAGUUGCUAAGGUACUGACCAGGUAGUUACUAAGGUACUGAACAGGGAGGUACUAAGUUACUGACCAGGGUAUUACUAAGGUACUGACCAGGUAGUUACUAAGGUCACUAACCAGGGAGUUACUAAGGUCACUGACCAGGGAGUUACUAAGUUACUGAUCAGGUAGGUACUAAGUCACUGACCAGGGAGUUACUAAGGACACUGAUCAGGUGGUUACUAAGAUACUGACCAGGUAGGUACUAAGUUACUGACCAGGGAGUUACUAAGGUACUAAGGUCACUGACCAGGACAACAUUCUGGACAAACAAGUCCGAUCCCACGGAUCCACCUCGGUCGCAACUUACAGGACGUAAAGGAUCUGCCGCUAACGUCUCAGCGCCAGAUCCCACAGCACACCUUCGGAGGUCUUGUUGAGUCCGUACCUCGAGGUGUCGGAGCCGUUCUGGCACGAGGAGAGGCGGACCGCCC